Molecule: unclassified non-coding RNA, 724 nt
Filed under: Hevea brasiliensis (rubber tree)
Lineage: Eukaryota; Viridiplantae; Streptophyta; Magnoliopsida; Malpighiales; Euphorbiaceae
Source: RNAcentral
UAACGGCUAUACUUCAGAGGUUAGGGGAUCUGUCAAACUCCUAGUAUCACAAGUAAAUCUGUGCAUUCGCCCCUUCUUGUCUUCAAUUUUGAACCCAAAUGUAUUUGGCAACCCUGAUGAAGGAUAGGCAAGGGAUCUUCCUGUCUCUCCUCCUUCAGAAGGCAAUUUCAAGGAACCUUCACUCCGUGUAUCCUCAUCAUCCUCGUUGGGACUUAAAGCCAUUGCAGAAUCCCAAAACUUUUGCAUCAUUGUGCUUGCUGCCUCAUUAUUUACUCCAGCAGUACUUCCAACCGUGGCAACUGCUGCAUGAGUAAUAUGAAUCACAUCAACCACAGCAACUAUAUUCCCAUCUCUAUCUACCACAGGAAGGUGCAAAAACUUCCCAUCAUGCAUGAUAUGAAGAGCAUCAACAAUUGGUGUAUCAAUGGUUGCACAUUCAGGGUUAGGAGUCAUAACCUUCUCCACAACAGUGGUAUCUGGAGGAAGAUUUUGUGCUAUUACUCGCAUCAAGAUAUCCUUAGAGGUUAAAAUUCCUCGUGGUUUGUGAUCAACCAUCACCACUGCAGAGCUUGACCGAAAUUCAAGCAUCUUCUUUGUCACUGCCAAAACACUUUCAGUUGGAGAAACUGUUACAACCUUUGAAUUCUCCUGAAUUAUUGUAGAUAAAGACGGUCUAAACAUCCGCUCUCGAAGUGUUUCAAUGAACGUAUUAGGUCCAGAUAAG